UUUAAGGUCUAACCUGCCCAAUGAGGAUUUAAAUGGCCGCAGUAUUUUGACUGUGCAAAGGUAGCAUAAUUAUUAGUUUUUUAAUUGAAAGCUUGUAUGAAGGGUUGGACGAGAUAAAAUCUGUCUUUAUUUAAAUUAGAGUAAAAUUUAACUUUUAAGUCAAAAGGCUUAAAUGUUUAUAAAAGACGAGAAGACCCUAUAGAUCUUUAUUUAUUUAAGAUUUUAAUAAUUUAGGAUUAUUUUAAUUUGAAGUUUUAAAUAAAUUUUAUUGGGGUAAUAUAAAGAUUAAAUAAAUUCUUUUUAUUUAUUACAUUGAUUUAUGAAUAUAUGAUCCAUUAAUAUUGAUUAUAAGAUUAAGUUACCUUAGGGAUAACAGCGUAAUUUUUUUGGAGAGCUCAUAUCGAUAAAAAAGUUUGCGACCUCGAUGUUGGAUUAAAAAUUAGCUUGGGUGCAGAAGCUCAAGAUUUUGGUCUGUUCGACCAUUAAAUUUUUACAUGAUCUGAGUUCAGACCGGCGUAAGCCAGGUCGGUUUCUAUCUUUAUUUAGAUAAAAUGUUUUAGUACGAAAGGACCAAAUAUUUAAUAUAGUUAUAUUUAUUUUUUGAAGAAUAUU
RNAcentral lists this ribosomal RNA (612 nucleotides) under Cicindela (Rivacindela) sp. JP-206. RNAcentral describes it as "partial 16S ribosomal RNA". It matches the Rfam family "Bacterial large subunit ribosomal RNA", at positions 1844 to 2739 of the family's 2925-position model. Lineage: Eukaryota; Metazoa; Arthropoda; Insecta; Coleoptera; Carabidae. The record is from RNAcentral.